CGCCUGUUUAUCAAAAACAUGGCUCUCUGUAUAUUGAAGAUAGAGAGUCGGACCUGCCCGGUGAAUUUUUUAACGGCCGCGGUACUCUGACCGUGCAAAGGUAGCAUAAUCAUUUGCCUUAUAAUUGAAGGCUAGAAUGAAUGGUUUGACAAAAAUACAACUGUCUCUUUACAAUUACAUAAAAUUUUAUCUGCAGUUGAAGAAGCCUGCAUUUGAAUAAAAGACAAGAAGACCCUAUCGAGCUUAAAAAAAACUGGUGGAAUAACAAACUUAAUCCUAACUUAUAAAUAAAUAAAUAGUCAACUACUGGAAAUUUUGGUUGGGGCGACCGGGGAACAAAAAAAACUUCCUUUAUAAAAAUUUAGAUGCCCAAAUAUUGAUCCAGCAUUAUAUGAUUAAAGAAAUUAGUUACCGUAGGGAUAACAGCAUUAUCUUUUUUAAGAGUUCUUAUCGAAAAAUAGGUUUGUGACCUCGAUGUUGGACCAGAAUAUCCUAAAGAUGCAGCCGUCUUUAAGGGUUGGUCUGUUCGACCAUUAAAAUUCUACGUGAUCUGAGUUCAGACCGGA
RNAcentral lists this ribosomal RNA (566 nucleotides) under Turbinella pyrum. Its description in RNAcentral is "partial 16S ribosomal RNA". It matches the Rfam family "Bacterial large subunit ribosomal RNA", at positions 1797 to 2620 of the family's 2925-position model. The record is from RNAcentral. Lineage: Eukaryota; Metazoa; Mollusca; Gastropoda; Neogastropoda; Turbinellidae.